UUUCUUUAAUUAUGUAAACCAAUUAAAAUGAGUGUCUGUGACUUUGUCUUAGGAUCCAGAAAUUCAAACAAAGGCUAAAGCUUUGAAUUGAGUCUUAAUGAAAAAUAACACAGUCGAACAUUCUCAUUAAUAUCAGUUUAUUCAUAAUUCUAAAAAAAUUACUUCAGGUAGAGAAAAUGGGAGAAAGAAACUUAUGACAGUAGUCAAAUUGAGUAGUUUGUGUAUCGUGUUUCUUUUGCUACUGCAGGGGUUUGCGACCUUUGACUAAAGAAUGUCAUGCUGCCAAGAUUUUCUCAAAACAUAUGAAGGUUGAGGAUCAGGUAGUGAUAUCUUUUCUCAAAACUUUUAUUAGGACCGAGAACUGGAAUAAUAUAUAAGGUGAGGAGGUCUUUCAAAGCGUUGCAUUGUUCAUAAAGUAAAUAUGUGUGCGCUCAUUUAUUUUUUAGAUAAUUAAUGGUAAAGUAAGAGUUCUUAUGUUUUGGAUUUACAGUUGUUUUAUUUUGACUCGCAUAUUUCGAUAAUUUUUAUAUUUUAAAUAUUUUCAGGUAUACAUUGAAGGAUACUUGGUGUAAGCUGUAAAGUAAUGGGUCUUAUGCUCAAAAUAUUGUUUCUCUAUUUUCUGCAUGUUUGUAUAUUUUUGGUUCCAUCUUUUGUAAAGUUAACUAAUUAUACAUGGUUAUGAUAAUUUUUGGGUAUGGAAUGAUUGUUUUUUUGGUGGUUUGUAUAUGCAUUGAUGAUUAUAAGUUUUG
Molecule: long non-coding RNA, 749 nt
Filed under: Panax ginseng (ginseng)
Lineage: Eukaryota; Viridiplantae; Streptophyta; Magnoliopsida; Apiales; Araliaceae
Description: long non-coding RNA (PGIN_LNC017298)
Source: RNAcentral